UCGAGCGAGAAGGUUAUGACUGAAUCUUCGGAUGAAGGAUUAACUGGAAAGCGGCGGACGGGUGAGUAACGCGUGGGUAACCUGCCUUGUACAGAGGGAUAGCCACUGGAAACGGUGAUUAAUACCUCAUAAAGCUACAUUAUCGCAUGAUGAAGUAGCCAAAACUCAGGUGGUACAAGAUGGACCCGCGUCUGAUUAGCUAGUUGGUGGGGUAAAGGCCUACCAAGGCGACGAUCAGUAGCCGACCUGAGAGGGUGAUCGGCCACACUGGAACUGAGACACGGUCCAGACUCCUACGGGAGGCAGCAGUGGGGAAUAUUGCACAAUGGGCGAAAGCCUGAUGCAGCAACGCCGCGUGAGCGAAGAAGGCCUUCGGGUCGUAAAGCUCUGUCCUAAGGGAAGAAUAAUGACGGUACCUUAGGAGGAAGCCCCGGCUAACUACGUGCCAGCAGCCGCGGUAAUACGUAGGGGGCGAGCGUUAUCCGGAAUCACUGGGCGUAAAGGGUGCGUAGGCGGCCAAAUAAGCCAGGGGUGAAAGGCUACGGCUCAACCGUAGUAAGCCUUUGGAACUGUAUGGCUUGAGUGCAGGAGAGGAGAGUGGAAUUCCUAGUGUAGCGGUGAAAUGCGUAGAUAUUAGGAGGAACACCAGUGGCGAAGGCGACUCUCUGGACUGCAACUGACGCUGAGGCACGAAAGCGUGGGGAGCGAACAGGAUUAGAUACCCUGGUAGUCCACGCCGUAAACGAUGAGUGCUAGGUGUC
Molecule: ribosomal RNA, 761 nt
Filed under: uncultured bacterium
Lineage: Bacteria
Description: bacterial SSU rRNA
Rfam family: Bacterial small subunit ribosomal RNA
Source: RNAcentral